UACGAAGGGGGCGAGCGUUGUUCGGAUUUACUGGGCGUAAAGCGUGCGCAGGCGGUUCUCCAAGUCCGUUGUGAAAGCCCCGGGCUCAACCUGGGAAUGGCAGUGGAAACUAGGGGACUGGAAUCUGGCAGAGGGGGGUGGAAUGCCGCGUGUAGCAGUGAAAUGCGUAGAGAUGCGGCGGAACACCGAUGGCGAAGGCAGCCCCCUGGGCUGAGAUUGACGCUCAGGCACGAAAGCGUGGGGAGCAAACAGG
This 253-nucleotide ribosomal RNA is filed under the name uncultured bacterium. Its description in RNAcentral is "partial 16S ribosomal RNA". It matches the Rfam family "Bacterial small subunit ribosomal RNA", at positions 524 to 776 of the family's 1533-position model. The record is from RNAcentral.